This 459-nucleotide ribosomal RNA is filed under the name uncultured bacterium. RNAcentral's name for it is "partial 16S ribosomal RNA". It matches the Rfam family "Bacterial small subunit ribosomal RNA", at positions 338 to 795 of the family's 1533-position model. The record is from RNAcentral.
CCUACGGGAGGCAGCAGUGAGGAAUAUUGGUCAAUGGGCGGGAGCCUGAACCAGCCAUGCCGCGUGAAGGCGAGUGCCCUACGGGCGUUAAACUUCUUUUGUGCGGGAGCAAAAAGGGCAACGCGUGGCCCGAUGAGAGUACCGCACGAAUAAGCAUCGGCUAACUCCGUGCCAGCAGCCGCGGUAAUACGGGGGAUGCGAGCGUUAUCCGGAUUUAAUGGGGUUAAAGGGUGCGUAGGCGGCGCAUCAGGUCAGCUGUGAAAUACCUGGGCUCAACCCCGGGGCUGACGUUGACACCGGGGCGCUAGAGUACCGAUGCGGUCGGAGGAAUGUGUGGUGUAGCGGUGAAAUGCAUAGAUAUCACACAGAACACCGAUUGCGAAGGCAUCUGACGAAUCGGGGAUUGACGCUGAUGCACGAAAGCGUGGGUAUCGAACAGGAUUAGAUACCCCAGUAGUC